RNAcentral lists this ribosomal RNA (497 nucleotides) under uncultured bacterium. RNAcentral's name for it is "partial 16S ribosomal RNA". It matches the Rfam family "Bacterial small subunit ribosomal RNA", at positions 28 to 507 of the family's 1533-position model. The record is from RNAcentral.
GACGAACGCUGGCGGCGUGCCUAAUACAUGCAAGUAGAACGCUGAAGAGAGGAGCUUACUCUUCUUGGAUGAGUUGCGAACGGGUGAGUAACGCGUAGGUAACCUGCCUUGUAGCGGGGGAUAACUAUUGGAAACGAUAGCUAAUACCGCAUAACAAUGGAUGACACAUGUCAUUUAUUUGAAAGGGGCAAUUGCUCCACUACAAGAUGGACCUGCGUUGUAUUAGCUAGUAGGUGAGGUAAUGGCUCACCUAGGCGACGAUACAUAGCCGACCUGAGAGGGUGAUCGGCCACACUGGGACUGGGACACGGCCCAGACUCCUACGGGAGGCAGCAGUAGGGAAUCUUCGGCAAUGGGGGCAACCCUGACCGAGCAACGCCGCGUGAGUGAAGAAGGUUUUCGGAUCGUAAAGCUCUGUUGUAAGUCAAGAACGGGGGUGAGAGUGGAAAGUUCACACUGUGACGGUAGCUGACCAGAAAGGGACGGCUAACUACGUG